RNAcentral lists this ribosomal RNA (550 nucleotides) under uncultured bacterium. Its description in RNAcentral is "bacterial SSU rRNA". It matches the Rfam family "Bacterial small subunit ribosomal RNA", at positions 355 to 896 of the family's 1533-position model. The record is from RNAcentral.
UAGGGAAUCUUCGACAAUGGACGGAAGUCUGACCGAGCAACGCCGCGUGAGUGAAGAAGGUUUUCGGAUCGUAAAGCUCUGUUGUAAGAGAAGAACGAGUGUGAGAGUGGAAAGUUCACACUGUGACGGUAUCUUACCAGAAAGGGACGGCUGACUACGUGCCAGCAGCCGCGGUAAUACGUAGGUCCCGAGCGUUGUCCGGAUUUAUUGGGCGUAAAGCGAGCGCAGGCGGUUAGAUAAGUCUGAAGUUAAAGGCUGUGGCUUAACCAUAGUAGGCUUUGGAAACUGUUUAACUUGAGUGCAAGAGGGGAGAGUGGAAUUCCAUGUGUAGCGGUGAAAUGCGUAGAUAUAUGGAGGAACACCGGUGGCGAAAGCGGCUCUCUGGCUUGUAACUGACGCUGAGGCUCGAAAGCGUGGGGAGCAAACAGGAUUAGAUACCCUGGUAGUCCACGCUGUAAACGAUGAGUGCUAGGUGUUAGACCCUUUCCGGGGUUUAGUGCCGUAGCUAACGCAUUAAGCACUCCGCCUGGGGAGUACGACCGCAAGGUUG